This 398-nucleotide ribosomal RNA is filed under the name uncultured bacterium. RNAcentral describes it as "bacterial SSU rRNA". It matches the Rfam family "Bacterial small subunit ribosomal RNA", at positions 32 to 410 of the family's 1533-position model. The record is from RNAcentral.
AAUCAACGCUGGCGGCGUGCCUCAGACAUGCAAGUCGAACGAGAAAGUUUCCUUCGGGGAAUGAGUAAAGUGGCGCACGGGUGAGUAACACGUAGGUAAUCUACCUUCGGGUGGGGAAUAACCCAGGGAAACUUGGGCUAACACCGCAUAAUGCAGCGGCACCACAUGGUGACAGUUGUUAAAGCGGGGGAUUUUAGGACCUCGCGCCUGAAGAGGAGCCUGCGGCGGAUUAGCAGUUGGUAAGGUAACGGCUUACCAAGGCGACGAUCCGUAACCGGCCUGAGAGGGCGGUCGGUCACACUGACACUGACAUACGGGUCAGACUCCUACGGGAGGCAGCAGUCGGGAAUUUUGGGCAAUGGGCGAAAGCCUGACCCAGCAACGCCGCGUGAAGGAUG